RNAcentral lists this ribosomal RNA (467 nucleotides) under uncultured bacterium. RNAcentral describes it as "partial 16S ribosomal RNA". It matches the Rfam family "Bacterial small subunit ribosomal RNA", at positions 28 to 506 of the family's 1533-position model. The record is from RNAcentral.
GACGAACGCUGGCGGCGUGCUUAACACAUGCAAGUCGAACGGAAAGGCCCUGCUUUUGUGGGGUGCUCGAGUGGCGAACGGGUGAGUAACACGUGAGUAACCUGCCCUUGACUUUGGGAUAACUUCAGGAAACUGGGGCUAAUACCGGAUAGGAGCUCCUGCUGCAUGGUGGGGGUUGGAAAGUUUCGGCGGUUGGGGAUGGACUCGCGGCUUAUCAGCUUGUUGGUGGGGUAGUGGCUUACCAAGGCUUUGACGGGUAGCCGGCCUGAGAGGGUGACCGGCCACAUUGGGACUGAGAUACGGCCCAGACUCCUACGGGAGGCAGCAGUGGGGAAUAUUGCACAAUGGGCGGAAGCCUGAUGCAGAAACGCCGCGUGCGGGAUGACGGCCUUCGGGUUGUAAACCGCUUUCGCCUGUGACGAAGCGUGAGUGACGGUAAUGGGUAAAGAAGCACCGGCGAACUACGU